Small nuclear RNA from Peromyscus californicus insignis, 105 nucleotides. The record is from RefSeq and is a predicted model, not a curated record. Lineage: Eukaryota; Metazoa; Chordata; Mammalia; Rodentia; Cricetidae.
GCUCACUUCGGCAGUGCAUAUACUAAUAUCGGAAUGAUACCGAGAAGAUUAGCAUGGCCCCUAUGCAAGGAUGACAUGCAAAUUCAUGAAGCAUUCUGUGUUUUU